This 486-nucleotide ribosomal RNA is filed under the name uncultured bacterium. RNAcentral describes it as "bacterial SSU rRNA". It matches the Rfam family "Bacterial small subunit ribosomal RNA", at positions 8 to 526 of the family's 1533-position model. The record is from RNAcentral.
AGAGUUUGAUCAUGGCUCAGAAUCAACGCUGGCGGCGCGCUUAACACAUGCAAGUCGAACGAGAAAGUGGAGCAAUCCAUGAGUAAAGUGGCGUACGGGUGAGUAACACGUGGGUAAUCUACCUCUGGGUGGGGGAUAACCCUGGGAAACCGGGGCUAAUACCGCAUAAGCCUGGAAAGGGAAAGGCGAAAGUCGCCGAGAGAGGAGCCCGCGGCCGAUUAGCUAGUUGGUAGGGUAAAGGCCUACCAAGGCGAUGAUCGGUAGCCGGCCUGAGAGGGCACACGGCCACACUGACACUGAAACACGGGCCAGACUCCUACGGGAGGCAGCAGUGGGGAAUCUUGCACAAUGGGGGCAACCCUGAUGCAGCGACGCCGCGUGAGCGAUGAAGCCCUUCGGGGUGUAAAGCUCUUUCGGCUGGAACGAUGAUGACGGUACCAGCAGAAGAAGCUGCGGCUAACUACGUGCCAGCCGCCGCGGUAAUAC